AUCUUCCUCACCCAAAGUGUAUACUGUAAGUCACCAUCAGAACAGAGGUGACUCCAUUUUGUAUUACAAUGCUAAGACAGACACAAACGUUUUUCUAUCUGUAACUCUAUUCAUUCAAGUCUGAGCUAAGGAAUACAACUUAUGUAAACAAAACCUGAGAUAAGACAUGAUGUCUACAGCAAAAGGGGGGUUGAAUGCUACAACCCAG
Non-coding RNA from Pelobates cultripes (western spadefoot toad), 208 nucleotides. Lineage: Eukaryota; Metazoa; Chordata; Amphibia; Anura; Pelobatidae. The record is from the annotation of a GenBank genome assembly.